AUUGAACGCUGGCGGCAUGCUUUACACAUGCAAGUCGAACGGUAACAGGCCGCAAGGUGCUGACGAGUGGCGAACGGGUGAGUAAUGCAUCGGAACGUGCCCAGUCGUGGGGGAUAACUACUCGAAAGAGUAGCUAAUACCGCAUACGAUCUAUGGAUGAAAGCGGGGGACCGUAAGGCCUCGCGCGAUUGGAGCGGCCGAUGUCAGAUUAGGUAGUUGGUGGGGUAAAGGCUCACCAAGCCAACGAUCUGUAGCUGGUCUGAGAGGACAACCAGCCACACUGGGACUGAGACACGGCCCAGACUCCUACGGGAGGCAGCAGUGGUGAAUUUUGGACAAUGGGCGCAAGCCUGAUCCAGCAAUGCCGCGUGCAGGAAGAAGGCCUUCGGGUUGUAAACUGCUUUUGUACGGAACGAAACGGCUCUGGUUAAUACCCGGGGCUAAUGACGGUACCGUAAGAAUAAGCACCGGCUAACUACGUG
RNAcentral lists this ribosomal RNA (482 nucleotides) under uncultured bacterium. RNAcentral's name for it is "partial 16S ribosomal RNA". It matches the Rfam family "Bacterial small subunit ribosomal RNA", at positions 30 to 507 of the family's 1533-position model. The record is from RNAcentral.